This 641-nucleotide long non-coding RNA is filed under the name Heterocephalus glaber (naked mole-rat). RNAcentral describes it as "lncRNA (ENSHGLG00100042411.1)". Lineage: Eukaryota; Metazoa; Chordata; Mammalia; Rodentia; Bathyergidae. The record is from RNAcentral.
CCGUUGUUGAAGUCCUCAACCUUCCGCUCGCUCAUGGCUCAGAGGUGGGGUGGACAACAAAAUUGACUUUUAAUGAAGAGUGGUUACUGAACCUAACAGCAAGAAACUUGUGUACAGAAGCAAAGCAAAGGCAAUUAGCCCAGUUGUGACCAUUUUGUAACUUAGCAUACCGUGGUGGCCUUGAUCAGAUUUCACUGCAGCUGAAGAAAACAGAAAUUAUUUUCUGUACCUACUGAUUACCCCUUAGAACAUGAGAGGCUGCAUUUACAGUAACUAGAGGAAGACAUAGAGGUAAUCUGGAAUCUACUUGUCACAGUUUGUAGAUUUUAUGAUGCAAUUUUUGUCCAGUAAUUUUAGCAAAAACAUAUUGAAGAUGUAUAUUGUCCUGAUGAGAACUGGAGUGAGAUGGUGGAGAAAGGAGCCAUCUAAGAUUCAUGCAAUGGAUUUUCAAAUCCAAUGACUGUUUAUGAAAAUAAUUUUGUACCCUCAGCAUCUAUGUUCAAUGCAGCUGAAAUCUUCCCAGAGCGAAGAAAUGCAUCAAAAAAGAAAAAGGAAAUGAAGAAAGAGGGAAGAAAAAAGAAAAAAGAAAAAAGAAAGGAAACAGAUUUUACUUUUAGCUCAUCUUCAGAUUUGCAAGAGAC